Molecule: ribosomal RNA, 276 nt
Filed under: uncultured bacterium
Lineage: Bacteria
Description: partial 16S ribosomal RNA
Rfam family: Bacterial small subunit ribosomal RNA
Source: RNAcentral
AUUGAACGCUGGCGGCAUGCCUUACACAUGCAAGUCGAACGGCAGCACGGGAGCAAUCCUGGUGGCGAGUGGCGAACGGGUGAGUAAUAUAUCGGAACGUGCCCGGUCGUGGGGGAUAACGUAGCGAAAGCUACGCUAAUACCGCAUACGAUCUAUGGAUGAAAGCGGGGGAUCGCAAGACCUCGCGCGAUUGGAGCGGCCGAUAUCAGAUUAGGUAGUUGGUGAGGUAAAGGCUCACCAAGCCGAGAUCUGUAGCUGGUCUGAGAGGACGACCAG